CCCUUAGAUGUUCUGGGCCGCACGCGCGCUACACUGAUGCAUUCAACGAGUCUAAAACCUGCUCUGAUAGGGGUGGGUAAUCUUUUGAAUGUGCAUCGUGAUUGGGAUAGAUGAUUGCAAUUUUUCAUCUUCAACGAGGAAUGCCUAGUAAACGCAAGUCAUCAGCUUGCAUUGAUUACGUCCCUGCCCUUUGUACACACCGCCCGUCGCUCCUACCGAUUGAAUGAUCCGAUGAAUAUCAUGGAUUGAGGAUUAUAGCAGGUUCGCCUGUCUUGAUCUUCGAGAAGUGAAGUAAAUCUUAUCAUGUAGAGGAAGGAGAAGUCGUAACA
RNAcentral lists this ribosomal RNA (329 nucleotides) under uncultured eukaryote. RNAcentral describes it as "partial 18S ribosomal RNA". It matches the Rfam family "Eukaryotic small subunit ribosomal RNA", at positions 1470 to 1796 of the family's 1831-position model. The record is from RNAcentral.